Macaca mulatta (Rhesus monkey) is the source of this 156-nucleotide unclassified non-coding RNA. It matches the Rfam family "Metazoan signal recognition particle RNA". From Rfam's summary of the family: The signal recognition particle (SRP) is a universally conserved ribonucleoprotein. It is involved in the co-translational targeting of proteins to membranes. The record is from Ensembl. NCBI's taxonomy places the organism in Eukaryota, Metazoa, Chordata, Mammalia, Primates, Cercopithecidae.
GCCAGGUGUAGUGGGGCGCACCUGUAGUCCCAGCUACUAGGGAGGCUGAGGCAGGAGGAUCACUUGAGCCUGGGAGGUUGGGCUGCAGUGGGUCAUAAUCAUCAUAAUCAUGCCACUGUACUCCAGCCUGGGCGACAGAGUGAGACCCUGUCUCCA